Molecule: ribosomal RNA, 253 nt
Filed under: uncultured bacterium
Lineage: Bacteria
Description: partial 16S ribosomal RNA
Rfam family: Bacterial small subunit ribosomal RNA
Source: RNAcentral
UACGGAGGGUGCAAGCGUUGCUCGGAAUUAUUGGGCGUAAAGGGUAGGUAGGUGGUCUCAUUUGUCUGGGGUGAAAGCCUUGAGCUUAACUCAAGAAGUGCCCCAGAAACGGUGAGACUGGAGUCUUGGAGAGGGUCGUGGAAUUCCCGGUGUAGCGGUGAAAUGCGUAGAGAUCGGGAGGAACACCAGAGGCGAAAGCGGCGACCUGGACAAGUACUGACACUCAACUACGAAAGCGUGGGGAGCAAACAGG